UUUUUUUUUUUUUUUGCAGGAUCGACCUCGAUUCCUCUUUCAUUCGUAACAUGCCUCGGCAGCUUGCUGGACAGCACUCCAUAAGUCUGCUAAUUCAAACUCAACAGUAUGAGUUAUCUCUACCUGUCAAACCACUGGAUCAGGUCCACCGGAUGCCCCUCUUCUGCUUGGGACUUUGCCAUCAUGUCAUCAACAUGGCAUUCAAUUUCAUGAUGAGUCAU
This 221-nucleotide long non-coding RNA is filed under the name Lathyrus oleraceus (garden pea). RNAcentral's name for it is "Pisum sativum (pea) long non-coding RNA (PSAT_LNC036761)". The record is from RNAcentral. Lineage: Eukaryota; Viridiplantae; Streptophyta; Magnoliopsida; Fabales; Fabaceae.